Molecule: long non-coding RNA, 712 nt
Organism: Megalobrama amblycephala (Wuchang bream)
Lineage: Eukaryota; Metazoa; Chordata; Actinopteri; Cypriniformes; Xenocyprididae
Exons: 3
Source: RefSeq, a predicted model, not a curated record
UUUUGCAUCUUAAGUCUUCAUUUUUAGUUAAAGCUGUUAAGUUAUAAAGCAAUAUCUCAAGUAGGGUUUUUCCUUUGUGUUUUAUAAAAUGACCACUAGGAGGUGCUCUAGACACGUUUUCCUUGAUUGGUUUUACAUGGAGAAAUACACAGCUACUUGAAUGAUUAUUUCUAAGUUUUAUUUCUAUUUCUAAACUGCUGUCAUCCACAUUACAUCAUUGCUCUAACCGAUGUUACCUGAAGAAUCCUUUCAGCGUGGCAGAUAUUCUCAAGCAUCUGGAGCCAAACUUAUGUUUGUACAAAGUUACACCAUAUCACUGAAUACAGCACACAUCAACAAGAUUUCAGAGACUCUGCGUGACAUUUUAAAUGUGUCAGGGUGUGCAUGAUGUCAACAUGAAACCGUAGCCCUCUGUGCUCCUCAUACCUGUGUGAGGAGGACCCACAAUUCUUCAAGACUUGAAAUGUAAGUAUUCAAUGCAUUAAAGGAACACUCCACUUUUUUUGAAAAUAGGCUCAUUUUCCAACUCCCCUAGAGUUAAACAGUUGAGUUUUACCGUUUUCGAAUCCAUUCAGCCGAUCUCUGGUUCUGACGGUACCACUUUUAGCAUAGCUUAGCAUAGUUCAUUGAAUCUGAUUAGACCGUUAGCAUCUCACUUAAAAAUCUAGAGUUUCAAUAGUAAACGUUUUGGCUGGGUAUCAAAUUUAAAUGA